This 253-nucleotide ribosomal RNA is filed under the name uncultured bacterium. RNAcentral's name for it is "partial 16S ribosomal RNA". It matches the Rfam family "Bacterial small subunit ribosomal RNA", at positions 524 to 776 of the family's 1533-position model. The record is from RNAcentral.
UACGGAGGGUGCGAGCGUUGUCCGGAAUCAUUGGGCGUAAAGGGCGCGUAGGUGGCACGACAAGCGUGCGGUGAAAGCUUGGGGCUCAACCCCGAGUCGGCCGUGCGAACUGUUGAGCUGGAGCACUGUAGAGGCAGGCGGAAUUCCGGGUGUAGCGGUGGAAUGCGUAGAGAUCCGGAAGAACACCGGUGGCGAAGGCGGCCUGCUGGGCAGUAGCUGACACUGAGGCGCGACAGCGUGGGGAGCAAACAGG